RNAcentral lists this non-coding RNA (24 nucleotides) under Arabidopsis thaliana (thale cress). The record is from RNAcentral. Lineage: Eukaryota; Viridiplantae; Streptophyta; Magnoliopsida; Brassicales; Brassicaceae.
AACUGUACAGCCACACUCCUCAAC